GAGAAAGUAAGCAAGGGCAGACGGUGGAUGCCUUGGCUCUCGGAGGCGACGAAGGACGUGAUAAGCUGCGAAAAGCCCGGGGGAGGCGCAAAUAGCCCUUGAUCCCGGGAUAUCCGAAUGGGGCAACCCGGCAGGUUGAAGGCCUGUCAUCCCGAAAGGGAGGCGAACGUGGGGAACUGAAACAUCUAAGUACCCAUAGGAGGAGAAAAUAAACAAUGAUUCCGUAAGUAGUGGCGAGCGAACACGGAAGAGCCCAAACCCGUGUCGUCUAGGCGAUACGGGGGUUGUAGGACCACGACGUGGCAAGAUAGAGUCAAGUGGAACGCCUUGGAAAGGGCGACCGUAGAGGGUGAUAGUCCCGUACACGACUGACGAUUGAAGCCUAGUGGUAUCCUGAGUAGCGCGGGGCACGAGAAAUCUUGCGUGAAACAGCGGGGCCCAUCCCGUAAGGCUAAAUACUCCCGAGAGACCGAUAGCGAACCAGUACCGUGAGGGAAAGGUGAAAAGAACCCCGAGCAGGGGAGUGAAAUAGACCCUGAACCCGUCUGCCUACAAGC
RNAcentral lists this ribosomal RNA (557 nucleotides) under Parabacteroides distasonis. Its description in RNAcentral is "partial 23S ribosomal RNA". It matches the Rfam family "Bacterial large subunit ribosomal RNA", at positions 1 to 571 of the family's 2925-position model. The record is from RNAcentral. Lineage: Bacteria; Pseudomonadati; Bacteroidota; Bacteroidia; Bacteroidales; Tannerellaceae.